This is a small nucleolar RNA of Marmota marmota marmota (Alpine marmot), 133 nucleotides long. Lineage: Eukaryota; Metazoa; Chordata; Mammalia; Rodentia; Sciuridae. The record is from Ensembl.
GCAUGGGUUUGGAUUUAUGUAGGCUUGACCCUGGGCCUCUCAUAGUGUCCCAUGCCAGGGCAAACUAUGCCCCCAAACCGUUGCCUGGCCUCUGUGUCCACAGGCUGCUGGCACUGAAGUGGGUCGCACAGUG